GUGUAGUGCACCACGCAGGUCUGGCCGCGCUUCGGGAAGGUGCGCCCUGAGGAGAGACAGACUGCAGAUCCCAAUCUAGAGACUACAAACUACUCCAAAGAUGAUCUACACCAUGACAACCCAACAAACAAAACCAGAAAGUCCUGGACUUGCUGAAAGCUGAUGUAAACCAAUCUAGUCAAUUCGAUGCUUCCUGUCUCUUCAGCUGGGUCAGCAAAUCAGAUGCUUCUGAUGAAUACCGGACUGCCCUAAUCCCCUCCUGCCUUUGGGUGCUAUUCCAGCCUUCCUGGGCUCUGAUGGCAUCCUCAUUUUUGCAGGAGAUAAAGAAUGCUAAGACCCUACCAAAGAUUUCACAGGGACACAGAAGACAAUCAAGGGAUGAAGAUCCAGCCUGCCUCCAUCUUAGGCUUAAAAGCCAUCUUACCAUAAAGACAAAGGAGGUCCAUUCCUGUUUAUGAUUAAACCUCUGCUUCUCAAGGA
Molecule: long non-coding RNA, 480 nt
Organism: Grammomys surdaster
Lineage: Eukaryota; Metazoa; Chordata; Mammalia; Rodentia; Muridae
Exons: 3
Source: RefSeq, a predicted model, not a curated record